RNAcentral lists this ribosomal RNA (618 nucleotides) under Tausonia pullulans. Its description in RNAcentral is "partial large subunit ribosomal RNA". It matches the Rfam family "Eukaryotic large subunit ribosomal RNA", at positions 65 to 669 of the family's 3401-position model. Lineage: Eukaryota; Fungi; Basidiomycota; Tremellomycetes; Cystofilobasidiales; Mrakiaceae. The record is from RNAcentral.
CCUUCUGUAUUGCCUAGUACGGCGAGUGAGCGGGAUGAGCUCAAAUUUAAAAUCUGGCGGUCUCAGAUCGUCCGAGUUGUAGUCUAGAGAAGCGUUUUCCGUGCUGGCCUGUGUACAAGUCCGUUGGAACACGGCGUCAUAGAGGGUGAGAAUCCCGUCCUUGACACAGAUCUCCAGUGCUUUGUGAUGCGCUCUCAAAGAGUCGAGUUGUUUGGGAAUGCAGCUCAAAAUGGGUGGUAAAUUCCAUCUAAAGCUAAAUAUUGGCGAGAAACCGAUAGCGAACAAGUACCGUGAGGGAAAGAUGAAAAGCACUUUGGAAAGAGAGUUAAACAGUACGUGAAAUUGUUGAAAGGGAAACGAUUGAAGUCAGUCAUGCUUUCCGAGACUCAGCCGGUUCUGCCGGUGUACUUCUCGGUUUGCAGGCCAGCAUCAGUUUUGGGCGGUGGAAAAGGUUGGCGGGAAUGUGGCAUCCUCGGAUGUGUUAUAGCCCGCUUUCGAAUACAUCGCCCGGGACUGAGGAACGCAGCACGCCUCUUGUAGGUCGGUCUUCGGACACGUCCGUGCUUAGGAUGCUGGCAUAAUGGCUUUAAACGACCCGUCUUGAACACCACGGACAAC